UAUAGUUACCAUCAGAGGUGG
This is a non-coding RNA of Caenorhabditis elegans, 21 nucleotides long. The record is from Ensembl. NCBI's taxonomy places the organism in Eukaryota, Metazoa, Nematoda, Chromadorea, Rhabditida, Rhabditidae.